Centrocercus urophasianus (Greater sage-grouse) is the source of this 199-nucleotide long non-coding RNA. RefSeq lists it as uncharacterized. Lineage: Eukaryota; Metazoa; Chordata; Aves; Galliformes; Phasianidae. The record is from RefSeq and is a predicted model, not a curated record. The transcript has 3 exons.
UUGCAGAUAACCCUGGAUACUGAGAGCCUGUCUACAUCCUCACCUUGGGGAGAGAAAAGCCAUGGGGAGUGGAAUGAGCAAGGUGGUCGCAGGGCUCUACCUGGGGAACAUCCGUGACUCAGAGGACAGGGACAGCCUGCGGAGGCAUGGCGUGACACACAUCCUUUCCGUGCACAACGGGGCCAAGCCGGUGCUGGAG